Long non-coding RNA from Wyeomyia smithii (pitcher-plant mosquito), 8545 nucleotides. RefSeq lists it as uncharacterized. The transcript is spliced from 5 exons. NCBI's taxonomy places the organism in Eukaryota, Metazoa, Arthropoda, Insecta, Diptera, Culicidae. The record is from RefSeq and is a predicted model, not a curated record.
ACUUAUAAUUUGAGUUGCGAGCGUUGCGGUUGCACUUUUUCACUCGGCUUUGGUUUAGGUUACAAUAAUUGUUUUUAAUUUCGAUUCUACUGAUAAAUAAAAGUGGUUUCACCCGUGAAUUGUUUGAAAUAGAGAAAAGCAAAUAAGUGUGUGAGUUAGUUAAUGGUAAAUAAACCUAUAGCAUUGUUUUUUUUAUUUGGUGUUGCCUUCUGUCAGGCAGUUGGCUGAGGCCCAUAAAUAGCAUUGAUUUAUUUUCAACGACACAUUUUGAAGCAAGAAUAUCGACGGCUUACAAAAUAGUCCUUGCUCCAAUCAGUUUCGAUUACGUAUUAUGUUUCUGUAGCAUCCCCUGAACGGUGAAAUCCCGGUGGAAGCAUUCAUCAAGCAUAUAAACGAUUGAAAGGGACCAUCACUAAAAGGCAAGAUAGGGAAUUACUUCGUACUACCUGUUGAAGAAGCCUGAAGUGUGGUGAUAUUUUAAUAAAAUAUCCCCACUAUAAAAAGGAGCUCGGAUAUCAACUGAUCGAUGAAGAUUACCGUGAUUUAGGAUACAAAGAAAUAAGAGCUAACUGGAAAAAUAUAAUCGACAAAUUAUGGACGUAUGUCAUAUUGAAAGUUCGAAGCCAGAACUCUUGUUGUGCUGGAAUUUAUGAAUCGUUCAAAUCAAUCUGAAGAUGCUCUCAUUUGUUGCUUUUUAAUUCAACUCACUAGGCUUUACACAAAAGCCUAGUAAAGUUACAAAGAUCAUGAGACCAGCAAUUCUAACCGCACAAGAGGAUGCGCUAAUGUGUGCUGGUAAUCUAGACUCUGCGCAUGAGUCCAAUUGUCGACUUCAGGAGUUUAUCAAGGAGAACGUCUUUCUUUUAAAAAGGGUUAGAUUCCUCGAGUUAUCUUAACCGACGUGCAAAGGUCCUUUUCGCAUUCGAAAGGCUUAAACACGCAAGGGACAACCUCUGAAAUCUAACGUUCGGAUCAAGAAAGAUCUACGCGAGUUCGAUUUUGCUAGUGGUAUGAUUUUAUUUGGUAGCAAAUCGGGUAUAUAUACAAAAUUUACAAAUUCGAAUCUUAUGAACUAUGCCUACGUAUGGAAGAGAAAAUGAGAGAGAAGAUUCUCCGAAUCUUCGUAAGGGAACAAAUAAGAACGCGACAGAAUUUCCAUUUGCCUAGUCAGGUCAAAUUUGCCUUCCCCUAAUCCGGUACCUGAACGGGAAAAAGGUUUCGAACGUUAUCGGCUUUCUUUACACACGCCUACGACAACAUUCAUUCAGAUAGUUACAAUGUUUACAAAGCGCCGGAUUUGCAUUCCCUAUUUCCCUACUUAAGAUGAUAAUGCGUACGCAGACGCGCCGGCUGAUAAUAGGACUUAUCGCCCUUUUCUUUGAGCAUUACUCGUCCAUAAUUCGCAUAGUCAUUGACGCUGGCUAAACCUAACAGACUAAGAAAACAGAACAGAAAAUAGACCGCUUACGAUUAGUGGCCUCGCACGGAUCUAGAAAUUCUAUACCUGCUUCUAAUCUAGCACCCGCACGAAGGGUCGGUCGGGGAUUAUUUAUGUAGCAAUCUCCUCUAUGACGGGAACCUAUUUGCGAUUAUUAAAUCUAUUCUAAUUCCUUUUAUAAGAACAAUAAUUAAUGAGUUGCUGAAUGACUAUAUUGUCAAGUUCUAAAUAAUGCGUUUGCUACAUUCUGGGCCCCAUAAAUCUACUAAGAUUUAUCAAAAAACUAUUACGCAUUAUUUCAAAAUUAUACAUCUUCUCAAAGUUAACAUAUUGCAUUUACGGUUCAAAUAAAUUACUAACAUAUUACUACACUUCAUCUUCUGUGGUGUGUUUCGCAGCCGUGUAGCGUCUUCUGGCGGUCUCCUUAAUUCACGAUUAGCCAUGACUGUAUCUAACGUAGAUAUACAUUGCUGCUAUCGCUAUUUUCAGUGGCAGUAUCGUAGGCUUCCCAAUCGAGACAAAUAGUUGAAUGUUGUGGACAGUUUUUUCUGCCAUCUCUAUGUUGAUCGCAUCACGCCGAAUUCGUCAAAAAACGGAUUCAACUUAAUUGGGAAGGAUCAUUCCUGUACAAUGUAUUUCGAUGUACCUCAGAUGAGCGGCUUUGAAAUUUAUUCUCUUCUGCCAUAAUCUGAUGAUAAAUUUGGUAGUGUAGUCUCCGCCAAUCGGAGAAAUCGUUUUUAUUUACGAGGUCACACUCGCCGUUGAAUAAGGUUUCUUCUAUUUCUGUAACAGGUUGAUUACCGGGUAACGUUCAACCGUCGAACCGUAAUUCGAAGUGUUUUGGCUCAUUAUACCAUUUAAUUUCUCCGACAUAUUCUAUAGUAGCCUCAUCUGCCGUAUUGUUUUCAGACUAUACCCAACGCCAUUGAUCUUUGGCAGUGGUAUCCAAUAUUUCGCCGACUCGGAUGUUAAUGUAUGAUGGAUAUUUUCUUUUCGUAUUUGUUACCCAUGCUAGCACUGUCUUCGAAUCUGUCCAUAAUGUUGCAGAUUUUAUGUCCAGACUUAUUUUUUUUUGAACGACGUCUAAUAGCCUUGUCCCCAUGACUGCCUCAUGGAGUUCCAGACGUGGAAUAGAUAGUGGUUCAAUUGACACAGCUUGUUUUAGCUGUUAUUAACUGCGUAUUGAUUCCAAAGCUUGUUUCAGUUCUAGCAUAUACACAAGCUGCAAGUGCCUUUUCAGAGGUGUCAACGAAAACAUGUAACUUUAUCGGAGCGUGCUCUGUUAGAAUGCAUCUCGGGAUCGAUAAGCCUUCCGCUUGUUUGAGUUUACGUAAGAAGUUCAGCCAUUGAUUAUACAGCUCAUCCGGAACAAGUAUAUCCCAUUGUUUGGAAUAUGUGUGUAGUUCCUGCAUUAGUAUCUUACCAUGCACAACUAAAUGAGAAAUUAGACCCAGUGGAUCGUAAAUACUCAUAAGCAAGGAUAAUACUUGUUUCUUCGUAGGUAUUUCGUCAAUAUUGAAGAUUCCUGCUCCUUUAUCAUUAUGAUUAAAUCGGUAACUUAGCAUGUCUCUACUGGUGUUCCAAUACACACCUAAUACCUUCUCAAUUUGAGAUUUCUUAUCUUGGAACGGUUUUAUAUCAGCGCAUAACCGUCUUGUUACAGGUAUACUUCUCAGCAAUUCAGUAUUAUUCGAAGAGAAGUUUCUAAUAUGGAAGCCUCCUUACUGAUGAAUUUCGGUUACCUUUUGUACAAGCUCCUUUGCCUUUUUUGGAUCCCAAAAACUAUCAACGUAAUCGUCGACGUAAUGUUGUUUUAUUAUUGCAUUUAUGGCUUCAGGAAACUGUUCCAAGUAUCUCUCUGCGUUAUGGUUUUUUACAGCUUGCGCGCAGUACGGUGAACAAGUCGAGCCAAAAGUCAUGACUUGCAUGACGUAAAUAUUCGGUUUUUUACUACUGUUGCAGUCGCGCCAUAAGAAACGUUGCGCAUUUGUCUUCACGGCGUAUUUUCACUUGAUGGAACAUCUCCACAUACAGGUAUUUUUCCUUCUCGAAUUCAUAGAAGAGUCCCAAAUAAUGAAGUCAGUUGAUCUGGACCGGGCAGCAACAUUGAGUUCAAAAAAUACUCCAUUUACUUUUGCAGCUGCGUCGAAAACUUAUCUUGGCUUCGGUGGCAACUUGUUUUGUUGAAAACGAUGAAGUGCGGAAGAUAAUUUAAAGUUGGAAGUUUCGUAGCAAUUCCUGUUGAUUGAGCUUACGAAUAUAUCUUUCUUCUUCUUCUUAGAUUUUUACCCACGGAAGAACUGUUUAAGAGGCUGACCAAAAUACUGUUCUAAUAACGUUCAAUCGUAUUUCGGCCUCAAUAGCGUUUACUGUCUUCAAAGCGUGUUGUUGCAAUUCCGAUGGGUCGAGUUUAUCUAUAGAAUACUUUAGUUUUAUAAUCAUCGAAGGUAUUGGCUUAACUUCAUAUAGUUCAACCUUUCAACGUGUAAUCACUAGCACUUUUUAUAUUUGUGGAUAUCUUCUUAUAAUUUCACUGCCUUUAAUUCACAGGCAGACUUCGGUUACUUCUGACAAUUUUACUUCAAAUUCUCCGCAGAUGAGAAGCUUUUUGUUGUCGCUUUCAAUUCUUCUUAAUGUACUACGGCGAUAGAAUCAUUUUUUUCGCUCAAUAAUUUUUUCUAUAACUUCUAUGUUGAAGAUUUUAACUUUUAUUGAUGUCUCAUCGUUUCUCCAAUUUAAAAACGAAACGCUUGCAAAGUUUGUUGACAGCUUGAUGAAUUUUGAUGUAUUAGGGUUUGUUUUUUAUUUUCCUUCAAAACAUCCAAAUUUGCAACCUUUACGGAAGGUUGCAUAAGUAUUCCUUUAGCAUUCAAAUUAGCAACCGUUGACCUUCAACGGUUCCACCAAUUUAUUCCAUUCACUUCGUUCUUUUGCCGAAGAUUUCAAAUUUAUACGUCUUCGAUUCAAAAAAGUUAACUCUUGAACCUUUUUCCAACGAGUUUUAACAAGUUUGAGAAUCCUCGAUUUAUUAUGCCAUGUAAGUUUUUCAAUAACCUUCUUCGUAGUUUCAUCGACUGAACUUGCAUUGCAUUGUAUCCAGCGCCUUUCUUCGAUGUCUUCCUGAAUUCCAUCAACUUUAACAUUUAUUAGCGAUAUGACGUUCUUGUUAACAUCUUCAUCCUGCGUUGAACAUGUUUUAAAUUUAGUGGAUUCUAGCAUCAUUUUUUUCCUUGUUGAUAUUCUAUUGCAGCUGAAUAUUCCAAUAUGUUCAUCCUUUUGGCCAACUCGUCGUAUCGUGUUCCAAAGCAUGUCUGGAAACUUUCCAAAUUGUUUCACCUUGUCGUUAGGUGAUUCUGCAAUUUCCGACGAAUAUUUUGGGCUUGAGAUACAUCCUAGCAUUUUAAUAUUAUUCGAUAGGAAUUUGCUUUUACUAUUGAACCCAUUUUCAUAGAGGCUCUUGACAGCCGCGCUCAAAAGAUGAUUCUCGAGUUUUAUAUCCGCAUUAUGAUGUUUAACUAUUGCAUUCUCUGCGUAGGAAAAUUCCUCAGGACAUUUAAAACCAUUGCAGCUCCAAAAUUUCAUUGCUGCAUCAAAGAAUACAUUGUCCUUCAUGACAAUUGUAAAAUUUCGACGAAAAUUCAAUAUCAAAUGAUCUUUUAUCAAUUCCACUGAUCGUUGCUUCCGAGUAACGUAGUUAUUCAAAACAUCAUUUCUGGCCACACACUGCUUUAUAGUGUCUAAGUUGUUUUCAGCGUAGUUGUAGCUUACUAUCGGUUUGUUGCGCCUAAUUUUCCAUGGUGAUCCUGGAGCAUAUCUUCCGUUUUUGGAAUUGAUGGCAUCUGCAGGUGAUACUCUCGGUUUAAUAAUGUUACCAGGUCUUCGUUUUAAAACCGAAGGACAUCUCAACAAUUUAUUAUUGUUCGAUGAGAGUUUUAUGCCCUUAUGUUCAUUUACUUGAUGAAUUUUAGGGUCUUUCUUUUUACUUUUGAGCUUCCCUUUUUGAGAGCUUAUCUCUGAUUUUUGGCAAUCUUGAUAGCCUUGUUUUACUGGACAUACUUUAGUGGCAUUAGCUCGUGCAGGUUUCUUUUCCACAAUCUUUGGGGAAUUAACAAGAACCUUUCGCGGUUCUAUUGAUUCUUCAGAAAUGUUUAUUCUUUUAACUGCUUUGAAUGUUUCUUCAUUUCCUUUUAAAGGCUUUGGAUUAGAUUCGUGGUGAUCAACUCUUUGGCGAUUCCCGAAAAUUACAACAGAUGUUGUAUCCUUGUCUUUGAGUGACUGUUCAUCUUGUGCGCUUUUCCUGGCGCACAUAGGAAUUCCUGGCGGUUGUCUUGAUCUCCGCCUCAUUGCAUGCGCUUCAACAUGUGGUUUCAGCCAGUCGUUCAAUUCAUCUAAGUCUUUGACUUGAGACUUUUCCUUAGUCCAACAGAUUUGUAUGCCGAAAGAAAACUUUCCAAUAAUAUCCUCCAUCAGCUGAGGAUUAUUUAAUAGGCGAAUUUCAUUCAUGGCCUUUAUACUAGACACAAAUUUGUCUAGUGCAUUGGAGCAACCCGUUAGAUUCGAAGUCUUACGGAUGUCAUUGAGCAGGUUUUUAUAUUCCAACUCAUCCUCGUACCGGGUGAGUUGAUCCAAACAUUCUGGAUCUGCUAGCCUGUUCUCUCCUGGAACAUGAUUUGCUUCUUCACUAAAGCGAAUCUGUGAUGAUUCAGUCUUCGUUUGAUAAACUGAAUACAUCUUUCUUGCCAUAGUUUCUCCAUGGUCUUUAAAUCUUUGCGAUAUCGUAUCGCUGGUCUUUAAACAUUGCAUUAUUGCAAGACCCAUUUCGAUGUUUGUGCAUUUAACACAAAUCCAUCGUUCCUCAGGUAAUGGUAGCCUUCUAAGGUGUCCACAGUUUAAAUGAAAUCUGCGAUCGCACUCAUCACAUGCGACCAUGUUUUCCUUAGAAUCUUUCUCCUUGCACAAGCGGCAACUACCGUUAGGAUUGUUAACAAAAUAACUCAUCGUUGAGUAAUGAGGGCGGUAGCGGCUUUCUGAUGAUUUUUUCUGUGGCUUCGUAGGGUUGAUCGUCCUGAUGACUUCCAAGGUUGAUCGCCGUAGAAAGAAUCGUCGCAAGGUUGAAAGAAAGGACCGAUACCAACUAGCUCCUCUCUGGAGUGACGCCAAAUGUCGACUUCAGGAGUUUAUCAAGGAGAACGUCUUUCUAUUAAAAGGGUUAGAUUCCUCGGGUUAUCUUAACCGGUGUGCAAAGGUCCUUUUCGCAUUCGAAAGGCUUAAACACACAAGGGACAACCUCUGAAAUCUAGCGUUCGGAUUUAGAAAGAUCUGUGCGAGUUCGUAUUUGCUAGUGGUAUGAUUUUAUUUGGUAGCAAAUCGGGUAUAUAUACAAAAUUUACAAAUUCGAAUCUUAUGAACUAUGCCUACGUAUGGAAGAGAAAAUGAGAGAGAAGAUUCUCCGAAUCUUCGUAAGGGAACAAAUAAGAACGCGACAGAAUUUCCAUUUGCCUAGUCAGGUCAAAUUUGCCUUCCCCUAAUCCGGUACCUGAACGGGAAAAAGGUUUCGAACGUUAUCGGCUUUCUUUACACACGCCUACGACAACAUUCAUUCAGAUAGUUACAAUGUUUACAAAGCGCCGGAUUUGCAUUCCCUAUUUCCCUACUUAAGAUGAUAAUGCGUACGCAGACGCGCCGGCUGAUAAUAGGACUUAUCGCCCUUUUCUUUGAGCAUUACUCGUCCAUAAUUCGCAUAGUCAUUGACGCUGGCUAAACCUAACAGACUAAGAAAACAGAACAGAAAAUAGACCGCUUACGAUUAGUGGCCUCGCACGGAUCUAGAAAUUCUAUACCUGCUUCUAAUCUAGCACCCGCACGAAGGGUCGGUCGGGGAUUAUUUAUGUAGCAAUCUCCUCUAUGACGGGAACCUAUUUGCGAUUAUUAAAUCUAUUCUAAUUCCUUUUAUAAGAACAAUAAUAAAUGAGUUGCUGAAUGACUAUAUUGUCAAGUUCUAAAUAAUGCGUUUGCUACACCAAUCAAACCACAUCCCAAAUAGUCGUCGUUGGAGAUGAUUAUACACCUCUACGAAGAGACAGUUCUAUGUGUGAAACGUAUACACAAAAAUUGACAGCUGUAUACCGAUUUUCAAGAUAUGUUUCAAGCAAUCUACAAUUAAACGCUGCAUAGCAGCGAUAUAAGCAGGAACAUCGAUAUAAAACUGUCACGCACGAAUAAUAUACAACCCCUGGAACCAGUUCCAGCAGUACAUUCACAAAGAUCUGCAACGGUUUUUGAGAGCUAUGAGUUUGUUCAAUCGUUACAGGAUAAUGAUCGCAUGGCACUGAAUUUUCUGCUUGAGCUCUACAAACGUCGUAAAAUAACACGAAAGGAUAUUCUCGAUGUUCAAUCUAGAGUCAGGGACUUGAAUAGUCAUCUUGAAGGCCUCAUCAGUUCAGUAAUAUCGUUUCAAACUAACGACCCACUAACGCGUUUUGUUACUUUUUUUUUAUCUAUGUGUUUUGUUACUGAUAUCUCUCUACAAAAAUUGUCUGCUAUGUUUGAUUUUAUUGAUACAGCGCACAAAUUCUCGAAGUUUCAGAAUCAGAUCUUUUUGAACAGCCAAGAGUUUUUAUCAUUAAGAACAUCAUCAAUUUAAUCUUAAUGGAUAUAGAACUUCAAAUCAAAAAAUUUCUCGAAACCGAAGAUGUAUCAAUAGAUAUAAUUACCAAUAUCAGCGAACUAAUGCAAAUAUGAAAUUGUUAAAACCACUCAGUCCAUAACACUAAAACACAAAGUAUUGUUUGGGAAACUUCGUAGCAGUAAGUCAAAAAUUUAUAGCAGAAUUAUAUCAAAUAAUAGAAUUGCUCAAAUAUUACGCAUAUGCGUCUAGAUGGAAAGUUGACUGUUUAAACAAUUAUUUUUAGGCGUUUGAAAUAGGCAAAAAAGCUAGAUGAAUUUUAUGUCAUUGUUAUGAAUAUUUAAGAUGGAGCACCUUUUACUAUAGAGCAAAUUGAUAAAAAGUAAUGUUUCGCAGGAAAUUGUAUUAAUCUUUUGAUUAAAUAGGAAGCAGAAAACAAAAAUUCAAAAAUUUUUAUAUUGACAUGGUUGAUAAUUCACAAU